RNAcentral lists this transfer RNA (73 nucleotides) under Thermobacillus composti KWC4. It matches the Rfam family "tRNA". From Rfam's summary of the family: Transfer RNA (tRNA) molecules are approximately 80 nucleotides in length. Their secondary structure includes four short double-helical elements and three loops (D, anti-codon, and T loops). The record is from Rfam by way of RNAcentral. Lineage: Bacteria; Bacillati; Bacillota; Bacilli; Caryophanales; Paenibacillaceae.
GCUGAAGUAGCUCAGCUGGUAGAGCAGCGCAUUCGUAAUGCGCGGGUCGGGGGUUCGAGUCCCUUCUUCAGCA